RNAcentral lists this ribosomal RNA (468 nucleotides) under uncultured bacterium. RNAcentral describes it as "partial 16S ribosomal RNA". It matches the Rfam family "Bacterial small subunit ribosomal RNA", at positions 28 to 507 of the family's 1533-position model. The record is from RNAcentral.
GACGAACGCUGGCGGCGUGCUUAACACGUGCAAGUCGAACGGAAAGGCCCUGCUUUUGUGGGGUGCUCGAGUGGCGAACGGGUGAGUAACACGUGAGUAACCUGCCCUUGACUUUGGGAUAACUUCAGGAAACUGGGGCUAAUACCGGAUAGGAGCUCCUGCUGCAUGGUGGGGGGUGGAAAGUUUCGGCGGUUGGGGAUGGACUCGCGGCUUAUCAGCUUGUUGGUGGGGUAGUGGCUUACCAAGGCUUUGACGGGUAGCCGGCCUGAGAGGGUGACCGGCCACAUUGGGACUGAGAUACGGCCCAGACUCCUACGGGAGGCAGCAGUGGGGAAUAUUGCACAAUGGGCGGAAGCCUGAUGCAGCAACGCCGCGUGCGGGAUGACGGCCUUCGGGUUGUAAACCGCUUUCGCCUGUGACGAAGCGUGAGUGACGGUAAUGGGUAAAGAAGCACCGGCUAACUACGUG